RNAcentral lists this ribosomal RNA (407 nucleotides) under uncultured bacterium. RNAcentral describes it as "partial 16S ribosomal RNA". It matches the Rfam family "Bacterial small subunit ribosomal RNA", at positions 28 to 526 of the family's 1533-position model. The record is from RNAcentral.
GACGAACGCUGGCGGCGUGCCUAAUCCAUGCAAGUAGAACGCAGUUGCGAACGGGUGAGUAACGCGUAGGUAACUGCCUCAUAGCGGGGGAUAACUAUUUGAAACGAUAGCUAAUACCGCAUACUGUGAGAUGGACCUGCGUUGUAGUAGCUAGUUGGUGGGGUAAAGGCUCACCAAGGCGACGAUACAUAGCCGACCUGAGAGGGUGAUUGGCCACCCUGGGACUGAUAUACGGCCCAGACUCCUAUGGGAGGCAGCAGUAGGGAAUCUUCGGCAAUUGACGGAAUGUGGACCGAGCAAUGCCGCGUGAGUGAAGAAGGUUUUCGGAUUUUAAAACUCUGUUGUUAGAGAAGCGGUAUCUAACCAGAAAGCCACGGCUAACUACGUGCCAGCCGCCGCGGUAAUUC